GCCCACGAAGCGUAAAUGGUGACGUGCCGGUUUCGUAAGCCGGAGAACGGGGUUCGAUUCCCCGCGUGGGCU
RNAcentral lists this transfer RNA (72 nucleotides) under Syntrophobacteraceae bacterium. Its description in RNAcentral is "tRNA-Thr". It matches the Rfam family "tRNA". Rfam says of the family: Transfer RNA (tRNA) molecules are approximately 80 nucleotides in length. Their secondary structure includes four short double-helical elements and three loops (D, anti-codon, and T loops). Further hydrogen bonds mediate the characteristic L-shaped molecular structure. tRNAs have two regions of fundamental functional importance: the anti-codon, which is responsible for specific mRNA codon recognition, and the 3' end, to which the tRNAs corresponding amino acid is attached (by aminoacyl-tRNA synthetases). tRNAs cope with the degeneracy of the genetic code in two manners: having more than one tRNA (with a specific anti-codon) for a particular amino acid; and 'wobble' base-pairing, i.e. permitting non-standard base-pairing at the 3rd anti-codon position. Lineage: Bacteria; Pseudomonadati; Thermodesulfobacteriota; Syntrophobacteria; Syntrophobacterales; Syntrophobacteraceae. The record is from RNAcentral.